This 449-nucleotide ribosomal RNA is filed under the name uncultured bacterium. Its description in RNAcentral is "partial 16S ribosomal RNA". It matches the Rfam family "Bacterial small subunit ribosomal RNA", at positions 29 to 523 of the family's 1533-position model. The record is from RNAcentral.
AAUGAACGCUGGCGGCAGGCCUAACACAUGCAAGUCGAACGGAUCCUUCGGGUUUAGUGGCGGACGGGUGAGAAACGCGUGGGAACAUACCCUUUGGUACGGAAUAGCCUCGGGAAACUGGGAGUAAUACCGUAUGUGGUCGAGAGACGAAAGAUUUAUCGCCAAAGGAUUGGCCCGCGUUGGAUUAGGUAGUUGGUGGGGUAAUGGCCUACCAAGCCGACGAUCCAUAGCUGGUUUGAGAGGAUGAUCAGCCACACUGGGACUGAGACACGGCCCAGACUCCUACGGGAGGCAGCAGUGGGGAAUCUUAGACAAUGGGGGAAACCCUGAUCUAGCCAUGCCGCGUGAUCGAUGAAGGCCUUAGGGUUGUAAAGAUCUUUCAGGUGGGAAGAUAAUGACUGUACCACCAGAAGAAGCCCCGGCUAACUCCGUGCCAGCAGCCGCCGUAA